AGCCUUUCUAUUUAUAGAUGGUUUCAUAGACACUUUUAAAAAUACAACCUGAAUUUGGCUCCAGUAACUUGGCGUUGGUUAUUUUAGGUUCUACGUGGAUUUUAUUUUUAGUGGUGCAGAAUGAUUUCUAAAGCAUUCAGCUGGAAUAACAGAAGAAGGCAACAGAUGGUUUUGGGAAACAUCAGGCUCCUUACUUUGCAGAGAAUGGCUGCAAGGAAAUGGAAGUUUCUCUUCAGCUGUGAUACUCAUUCUCUUAGAGGGCUCUGAAAAAAGGAUAAGGAAACAGCUCCCAUCAUCGUCUCCCGAGAGUCGGCACUCAUUUUGGUUGCUCCUGUGGUCUGGGACGCCAAGGCCUGGCUCCCUUGCGGGUGGGGCGUAGAGAAGAAGCCCUGCCAUACGCAGGAGUGAAAGGUUCCUUAGCAGAUCCAGCCUCACGUUUCCACCUAACACCAGGAGAACCAGAUGGAGCCUUGACAUCAACGCUGGCGGGUUCGCCCUUGUUCAGAAGAAUCUAAGGUGACACCAUGAGGACGCUAAUUCACGCAGUGGUGGUUAAUUAGGCUUAGGGCGCCGGGCACGGUGGCUCACGCCUGUAAUCCCAACACUCUGGGAGGCCGAGGCAGGUGGAUCACAAGGUCAGGCGAUCGAGACCAUCCUGGUCAACAUUGUGAAACCCCGUUUCUACUAAAAAUACAAAAAAUUAGCUGGGCAUGGUGGCACGUGCCUGUAGUCCCAGCUACUCAGGAGGCUGAGGGAGGAGAAUUGCCUGAACCCAGGAGGCGGAAGUUGUGGUGAGCCGGGACCUCGCCAUUGCACUCCAGCCUGGGUAACAAGAGCAAAACUCCAUCUCAAAAAAAAAAAAAAAUAGGCUUAGGGCUCUGACAUGAUGCAGGUCCCAUUAUAGACAAGUCUCUGGCCACAAGUCCUUGAAGAGGGAUGGAUUCUCAGAAAGCCAUUUGGCAUCCUGGUAUUGCCCGUGGACGUGAAACCCAAGGGUAACUGGGAUUCCCUGGGUGCUCUCCCAGAGCAUCUGGCCCCAUCCUAUUCUCUUUCAGCGUCUUCCAUCUGCCAUCUUCCCUCCUUCAGGGGCUCAUUUUCAGAAUUUUCCAUUGACAUUCCUCACACGUUUGUCGCUUGAAGGAGUAACCUUCGUUUAUAUGUAACAUUCAAUUAAGUAAGCACUCUCAUUGCAUGAAAGAGGCUUUACUGUGUGCACAGAUUUGAUUAGGAGCAAUUUAUGACUUUGUGACAUUCAUAUGAAUAAGCUAACUUGGACCAAAAUGUUAACAGGAGGGAAUGACUUCCCCAUCUCUCUCCUCCAU
Molecule: long non-coding RNA, 1322 nt
Filed under: Callithrix jacchus (white-tufted-ear marmoset)
Lineage: Eukaryota; Metazoa; Chordata; Mammalia; Primates; Cebidae
Description: lncRNA (ENSCJAG00000059423.2)
Source: RNAcentral